UACGUAGGGCGCAAGCGUUUGUCCGGAAUUAUUGGGCGUAAAGAGCUCGUAGGCGGUUUGUCGCGUCUGCUGUGAAAACCUAAGGCUCAACCUUGGGCUUGCAGUGGGUACGGGCAGACUAGAGUGCGGUAGGGGUGACUGGAAUUCCCGGUGUAGCGGUGGAAUGCGCAGAUAUCAGGAGGAACACCGGUGGCGAAGGCGGG
This 203-nucleotide ribosomal RNA is filed under the name uncultured bacterium. RNAcentral's name for it is "partial 16S ribosomal RNA". It matches the Rfam family "Bacterial small subunit ribosomal RNA", at positions 524 to 725 of the family's 1533-position model. The record is from RNAcentral.